GCGUUUAGCUCAGUUGGUUCAGAGCACCUGCCUUACAAGCAGGGGGUCGGUGGUUCGAAUCCACCAAUGCC
This 71-nucleotide transfer RNA is filed under the name pig gut metagenome. It matches the Rfam family "tRNA". From Rfam's summary of the family: Transfer RNA (tRNA) molecules are approximately 80 nucleotides in length. Their secondary structure includes four short double-helical elements and three loops (D, anti-codon, and T loops). Further hydrogen bonds mediate the characteristic L-shaped molecular structure. tRNAs have two regions of fundamental functional importance: the anti-codon, which is responsible for specific mRNA codon recognition, and the 3' end, to which the tRNAs corresponding amino acid is attached (by aminoacyl-tRNA synthetases). tRNAs cope with the degeneracy of the genetic code in two manners: having more than one tRNA (with a specific anti-codon) for a particular amino acid; and 'wobble' base-pairing, i.e. permitting non-standard base-pairing at the 3rd anti-codon position. The record is from RNAcentral.